GUAGCUUUCAGUGACUAGUUUCGACCUGGUUUUUUAAUGGCUAUA
This 45-nucleotide transfer RNA is filed under the name Tyrophagus putrescentiae. RNAcentral describes it as "tRNA-Arg". Lineage: Eukaryota; Metazoa; Arthropoda; Arachnida; Sarcoptiformes; Acaridae. The record is from RNAcentral.